AUUCGGGGUAUUAAGAUCUUGGAAUUGAAAUGGGUUAAAAGUAAAUCGCUUAGCGAGUAGCAACUGGAGGGCAAGUCUGGUGCCAGCAGCCGCGGUAAUUCCAGCUCCAGUAGCGUAUAUUAAAGUUGUUGCAGUUAAAAAGCUCGUAGUUGAAUUUUUGACUGGAGAAGACGGUCUUUGGUAACCCCACUGUACUGUCUCUCUCCGUCUUCUUUCCGGAGAAUGCAGCUGGGCUUCAUUGACUGGUUGUAGGAUUCGGAUCGUUUACUUUGAAGAAAUUUGAGUGUUCAAAGCGGGCAAGUGCCUUUGAAUACAUUAGCUGGAAUAAUAGAAUAGGACUUUGGUUCUGUUUUGUUGGUUUUUGGGGACCAUAGUAAUGGUUAAUAGGGACAGUUGGGGGCAUUAGUAUUUCAUUGUCAGAGGUGAAAUUCUUGGAUUUAUGAAAGACUAACUACUGCGAAAGCAUUUGCCAAGGAUGUUUUCAUUAAUCAAGAACGAAAGUUAGGGGCUCGAAGACGAUCAGACACCGUCGUAGUCCUAACCAUAAACGAUGCCGACUAGGGAUUGGAAGAUGUCACCUAUAUUGACUCCUUCAGCACCUUACGAGAAAUCAAAGUUUUUGGGUUCUGGGGGGAGUAUGGUCGCAAGACUGAAACUUAAAGGAAUUGACGGAAGGGCACCACCAGGAGUGGAGCCUGCGGCUUAAUUUGACCCAACACGGGAAAACUUACCAGGUCCAGACAUGGCGAGGAUUGACAGAUUGAGAGCUCUUUCUUGAUUCCAUGGGUGGUGGUGCAUGGCCGUUCUUAGUUGGUGGAGUGAUCUGUCUGGUUAACUCCGAUAACGAACGAGACCUCAACCUGCUAAAUAGUCACACUGUAUUUUUAUACGUGGAAGUACUUCUUAGAGGGACUAUCUGUGUUAAGCAGAUGGAAGUUUGAGGCAAUAACAGGUCUGUGAUGCCCUUAAAUGUCCUGGGCUGCACGCGCGCUACACUGAUGAAGGCAACAAGCAUUACCUAAACCGAAAGGUUGCGGCAAUCUUUUGAAACUUCAUCGUGCUGGGGAUAGACUAUUGCAAUUAUUAGUCUUCAACGAGGAAUUCCUAGUAAGCGCGAGUCAUCAGCUCGCGUUGAUUACGUCCCUGCCCUUUGUACACACCGCCCGUCGCUCCUACCGAUUGAAUGGUCCGGUGAAAUCUUCUGACUACGCGGCAUUAGCUUGCGAGGAACGUUGAUUAAACCUU
Molecule: ribosomal RNA, 1245 nt
Filed under: metagenome
Description: SSU rRNA
Rfam family: Eukaryotic small subunit ribosomal RNA
Source: RNAcentral